Sinocyclocheilus rhinocerous is the source of this 90-nucleotide long non-coding RNA. RefSeq lists it as uncharacterized. NCBI's taxonomy places the organism in Eukaryota, Metazoa, Chordata, Actinopteri, Cypriniformes, Cyprinidae. The record is from RefSeq and is a predicted model, not a curated record. The transcript has 4 exons.
CCUUCGUGGAGUGGACUCUGGUGAGAAACGGAUCGCCACCCACCACCUGCCCCAUGGAUGAUCUCAUGAGGUCCACUGCAGACCCAGCCC